Molecule: ribosomal RNA, 443 nt
Filed under: uncultured bacterium
Lineage: Bacteria
Description: partial 16S ribosomal RNA
Rfam family: Bacterial small subunit ribosomal RNA
Source: RNAcentral
CCUACGGGGGGCAACAGUGGGGAAUAUUGGGCAAUGGGCGCAAGCCUGACCCAGCAACGCCGCGUGAAGGAAGAAGGCUUUCGGGUUGUAAACUUCUUUUGUCAGGGAAGAAGCAAGUGACGGUACCUGACGAAUAAGCCACGGCUAACUACGGGCCAGCAGCCGCGGUAAUACGUAGGGGGCAAGCGUUAUCCGGAUUUACGGGGUGGAAAGGGCGUGUAGGCGGGACUGCAAGUCAGAUGUGAAAACCACGGGCUCAACCUGUGGCCUGCAUUUGAAACUGGCGUUCUUGAGUGCUGGAGAGGCAGGCGGAAUUCCUAGUGUAGCGGUGAAAUGCGUAGAUAUUAGGAGGAACACCAGUGGCGAAGGCGGUCUGCUGGACAGCAACUGACGCUGAGGCGCGAAAGCGUGGGGAGCAAACAGGAUUAGAUACCCCUGUAGUC